RNAcentral lists this transfer RNA (63 nucleotides) under Mordellochroa milleri. RNAcentral describes it as "tRNA-Asp". The record is from RNAcentral. Lineage: Eukaryota; Metazoa; Arthropoda; Insecta; Coleoptera; Mordellidae.
AAAAACUUAGUUAAAAUUAUAACCUUAGUAUGUCAAACUAAAAUUAACAUUAGUUAGUUUUUA